Molecule: long non-coding RNA, 378 nt
Filed under: Bos taurus (domestic cattle)
Lineage: Eukaryota; Metazoa; Chordata; Mammalia; Artiodactyla; Bovidae
Description: long non-coding RNA NONBTAT022449
Source: RNAcentral
GUACUUUUAAAAUAUUUAACUUGUUGAGUUUGACUUAACCAUCCUGCAAAGGAAAGCAGGGCGAGGUUAAUCAGAAAUAGCUGAAGCCUAGCAAGAACCCUGCCCUCUCAGUGCCUCCACCAAGCCAUGGGUUACAGAGAGAGGAGUCAUGCAUGAAAUUGCCUGGGUCUAAAAGCAGGUCCAGGUUGCAAAGUCUGAAAGGUAAGAAAGGUUCAGACCAGGUAAAACAGACCUAGUAACCCAGGGUUGACAAAGCCCCAUUCAGAUGCUAUGAAGUUACUUACAGAAGAGUGUUGGCAAGGCAAGGAGAGCUGACAUGUUCAGAGUAGAGUUUACCACUAUGAAAAAGCAACCCCCUCAAAAACCUCAGAAUAACAU